This 559-nucleotide ribosomal RNA is filed under the name Poropterus waterhousei. RNAcentral's name for it is "partial 16S ribosomal RNA". It matches the Rfam family "Bacterial large subunit ribosomal RNA", at positions 1803 to 2631 of the family's 2925-position model. The record is from RNAcentral. Lineage: Eukaryota; Metazoa; Arthropoda; Insecta; Coleoptera; Curculionidae.
UUUAUUAAAAACAUGGCCUAUUGGAAAUGAUUUUAGGUCGAGCCUGCCCAAUGAUGUAAAAAUUUAAUGGCCGCGGUAUUUUGACCGUGCAAAGGUAGCAUAAUCAUUAGUUUUUUAAUUGAAAGCUUGUAUGAAAGGUUUGAUGAAAAAAUAACUGUCUCUAUUUAAAUUUAUUAGAAAUUUAUUUUUAAGUAAAAAAGCUUAAAUACUUAUAGAAGACGAGAAGACCCUAUAGAGUUUUAUAAUUAUUUAGAUAAAUAAAAUUUUAGUAUAUUAAUUAUUUAUUUAAAUAAUUAUUUAAUUGGGGUGAUUGAAAAAUUAAAGUAACUUUUUUUGUAUAUAAACAUUAAUAUAUGAGUUCUUGAUCCUUGUAUAAAGAUUAAAAGAUAAAAUUACCUUAGGGAUAACAGCGUAAUUUUUUUUAGAGUUCUUAUCGAAAAAAAAGAUUGCGACCUCGAUGUUGGAUUAAAAGAAAUUAUUGGUGAAGAAGCUAGUAAAUUAGGUCUGUUCGACCUUUAAAAUUUUACAUGAUCUGAGUUUAAACCGGUGUGAGCCAGGU